This 1283-nucleotide ribosomal RNA is filed under the name Bacillus sp. SCU-B162. RNAcentral describes it as "bacterial SSU rRNA". It matches the Rfam family "Bacterial small subunit ribosomal RNA", at positions 98 to 1368 of the family's 1533-position model. The record is from RNAcentral. Lineage: Bacteria; Bacillati; Bacillota; Bacilli; Caryophanales; Bacillaceae.
GGGGACGGCCGAGUAACACGUGGGUAACCUGCCUGUAAGACUGGGAUAACUCCGGGAAACCGGAGCUAAUACCGGAUAGUUCCUUGAACCGCAUGGUUCAAGGAUGAAAGACGGUUUCGGCUGUCACUUACAGAUGGACCCGCGGCGCAUUAGCUAGUUGGUGAGGUAACGGCUCACCAAGGCGACGAUGCGUAGCCGACCUGAGAGGGUGAUCGGCCACACUGGGACUGAGACACGGCCCAGACUCCUACGGGAGGCAGCAGUAGGGAAUCUUCCGCAAUGGACGAAAGUCUGACGGAGCAACGCCGCGUGAGUGAUGAAGGUUUUCGGAUCGUAAAGCUCUGUUGUUAGGGAAGAACAAGUGCAAGAGUAACUGCUUGCACCUUGACGGUACCUAACCAGAAAGCCACGGCUAACUACGUGCCAGCAGCCGCGGUAAUACGUAGGUGGCAAGCGUUGUCCGGAAUUAUUGGGCGUAAAGGGCUCGCAGGCGGUUUCUUAAGUCUGAUGUGAAAGCCCCCGGCUCAACCGGGGAGGGUCAUUGGAAACUGGGAAACUUGAGUGCAGAAGAGGAGAGUGGAAUUCCACGUGUAGCGGUGAAAUGCGUAGAGAUGUGGAGGAACACCAGUGGCGAAGGCGACUCUCUGGUCUGUAACUGACGCUGAGGAGCGAAAGCGUGGGGAGCGAACAGGAUUAGAUACCCUGGUAGUCCACGCCGUAAACGAUGAGUGCUAAGUGUUAGGGGGUUUCCGCCCCUUAGUGCUGCAGCUAACGCAUUAAGCACUCCGCCUGGGGAGUACGGUCGCAAGACUGAAACUCAAAGGAAUUGACGGGGGCCCGCACAAGCGGUGGAGCAUGUGGUUUAAUUCGAAGCAACGCGAAGAACCUUACCAGGUCUUGACAUCCUCUGACAACCCUAGAGAUAGGGCUUUCCCUUCGGGGACAGAGUGACAGGUGGUGCAUGGUUGUCGUCAGCUCGUGUCGUGAGAUGUUGGGUUAAGUCCCGCAACGAGCGCAACCCUUGAUCUUAGUUGCCAGCAUUCAGUUGGGCACUCUAAGGUGACUGCCGGUGACAAACCGGAGGAAGGUGGGGAUGACGUCAAAUCAUCAUGCCCCUUAUGACCUGGGCUACACACGUGCUACAAUGGACAGAACAAAGGGCUGCGAGACCGCAAGGUUUAGCCAAUCCCACAAAUCUGUUCUCAGUUCGGUUCGCAGUCUGCAACUCGACUGCGUGAAGCUGGAAUCGGUAGUAAUCGCGGAUCAGCAUGCCGCGGUGAAUA